UUGUGAAAUGGCCGCUGUGGCUGGACUCUGUCCUAGAUGCCGGUGAUGCAUUGGUGAAUAAGACAAACCUUGCUCUGACUGUUGGAAGCUUAUAUUUUCAUGGUGGAAAGACAAAUAAUGAACAACUAAAUAAACGAGAUGUUUUUAGAGAGUGACAGAAGAACUAAAAUCAGGGGCAUCAGAGAAGGCAAGGUCAGUGCCAUGCAGAGUGCCCAGAGCCGGCCACAGCGGCACUGCAGGGACAGCAUCUGGUACUCAUGGGCCAGGAGUCUUCUCUGAGGUUUGGAUUUUGGGAUUUCUGUCCUCAUUUGUGUGGGUGAAUUUAACUGUGACAGUAGGAGCAAAACAGGUAUUGAAUCUACUUGGAGCCAAGAGGAGAUAAAUAAGAGACUCCAGAAAUCAGCUUGAAUAUUCUACAGAGGAUGGUCCAGUGACUAUAAAAUAAACUGGAAGCAGAAAUUUCUGUAAUUAGUUCAACUAUAGAGUCAUUAAGUGAACUAGAACAAGUUAGGAUUAAGACAUGACAUCUUCAGAAGGCAAAGAAUGUGGGCAGCCUGGAGAAGCUGGAAAAGGUAAGGAAUAGCAUUCUUCCCUAAAACCUCCAGAAAUGU
This is a long non-coding RNA of Symphalangus syndactylus (siamang), 611 nucleotides long. RefSeq lists it as uncharacterized. Lineage: Eukaryota; Metazoa; Chordata; Mammalia; Primates; Hylobatidae. The record is from RefSeq and is a predicted model, not a curated record.